Molecule: ribosomal RNA, 253 nt
Filed under: uncultured bacterium
Lineage: Bacteria
Description: partial 16S ribosomal RNA
Rfam family: Bacterial small subunit ribosomal RNA
Source: RNAcentral
UACAGGGGGGGCAAGCGUUGUUCGGAAUUACUGGGCGUAAAGGGCCUGUAGGUGGCUUGCUAAGUCAGACGUGAAAUCCCUCAGCUUAACUGGGGAACUGCGUCUGAUACUGGCAAGCUUGAGUGCAGGAGAGGAACGCGGAAUUCCAGGUGUAGCGGUGAAAUGCGUAGAUAUCUGGAGGAACACCGGUGGCGAAGGCGGCGUUCUGGACUGCAACUGACACUGAGAGACGAAAGCCAGGGGAGCAAACGGG